GGGCUGUGUACUGUUUCAGUAUUUUUAUUUUCAGGAGGAACUGAGUCCUUCGCAUCCCCUUCCAUGUUGGAGACAGUUCCACUAUAGGUUGGAACCCCUUUCUGCUCGGCUGGAUCUAGCGGAGACGAGAUCACUGAAUUCCCAGAAGCAGAUCACGCGGACUCUGGAAUGGUGGAUUUCAAGCAAGAUGUAUCAUGGAGAAAGGUCUCAAUUCCUACGUUUCUUUGUUUCAUCAUUGAAAAUGGCCAUUCACUAUGUGUCUUGAAUAUGAUGUAUGCAGCUGCUGUCACUGCCUUCGCUGUCCAUCCCCUGCUGCUGAUACAAUGAUCCCUCUCUAGCUUCCAGGCUCAGAGCCAGCCUAGGCACUGCCUCCCGCUGUGCUGUCCUACUGCUUCCGGGAUCCUGCAUCAUUGCCCUCAUUGUAUGUGACUACGCUGAUUGUCUGAUUAUCACACGGAAUACAGAACCUACCCAAGGCUUGGCAUCAGUAAAGCUUGGAAUUAAGUGAGGUCUGUCUAAUUCCAAAGCUCAGGCUCUUUCAACGGCCACAGCUGAUCAAUCACCCCAUGAUUAAAAAUAACUCACUAUCCAAAGCCCGCA
RNAcentral lists this long non-coding RNA (600 nucleotides) under Fukomys damarensis (Damara mole-rat). Its description in RNAcentral is "lncRNA (ENSFDAG00000031754.1)". The record is from RNAcentral. Lineage: Eukaryota; Metazoa; Chordata; Mammalia; Rodentia; Bathyergidae.